Piscirickettsia salmonis is the source of this 414-nucleotide non-coding RNA. The record is from Rfam. Lineage: Bacteria; Pseudomonadati; Pseudomonadota; Gammaproteobacteria; Thiotrichales; Piscirickettsiaceae.
GGGGACGACAUGGCUUCGACGUGGAUUGCAAAACUUAAGGGGCAUGCCGAGUGAUGAUAUCUACACUCGUUAAUCAGAGAUAUUACUUUUAUAAUUGGCGAAGCUAAAGCUGCCAACGAUGAUGUAGUAGUUGCUAACGAUGCAAUCGUUGCAAAAACUACUGCAAUUGCUGCCUAAACACCAGCUCAUCGACGUUGCCUGAGUUUGCUUAUAGACCCAGAUUUUCAACGUUCACCUUAAUAUAAGCUCGCGCUUUAAUGUGUCUGUGCAUUAAACGCUAAAACUAAAGCAGACUCGCAAGGUGGUGCCAUGUUUGCCGGGCUAAACCAAGUUAAACACAGUAGGUGAACUAAGCAUGUAGAUCCGAGAGUGGAGGGUUUACGGACGCGGGUUCGAUUCCCGCCGUCUCCACCA